Non-coding RNA from Caenorhabditis elegans, 21 nucleotides. NCBI's taxonomy places the organism in Eukaryota, Metazoa, Nematoda, Chromadorea, Rhabditida, Rhabditidae. The record is from Ensembl.
UGCUUGUUUCUGCCGCUCUUU